Molecule: long non-coding RNA, 475 nt
Filed under: Theobroma cacao (cacao)
Lineage: Eukaryota; Viridiplantae; Streptophyta; Magnoliopsida; Malvales; Malvaceae
Description: long non-coding RNA (TCAC_LNC000408)
Source: RNAcentral
CUUCAAGCUUCCAUAACUCUCUCAAGUUAGUCUCAAAUUUCAUGCUUUUGUGCACCUUUUCACAAGCCCUUUGUGCUCUUUUACUCUUUCACCUUAAAAACCCUCCAAAGUCUUAAACCAAUACUUUCUCUCACUAGCUAGGUGUUUUAGAGAGAGAAAGAAAGACUCUCUAUAAUAGUUUGAGAAUUCUUGAGGAGGAAUCCAAUUACAAAUCUAGCAAGGUGAGUGUUGAAAUUGAGUUGAUAUUUUAGUUGCUAAUAAUGUCUAGUAAUUUGAUUUAUGAGUGUUUUAUUGUUGAGAUUGUUUAAUCAUUUUUAGUGUGGCUAGAGUAGUGUAAAUAGUAUCCAUUUAAUGGUAGUUGGAAGCUAGUAGAAAUUACUAGUAGAACUCAAUUUAGAAAAUAGCUUUGGAAUAGUAUUAAUGCCAAGUUGGGUUGAUGGUGAUGAUGCUAAUGUGAUGAUAGGUUCCAACGAAG